This 439-nucleotide ribosomal RNA is filed under the name uncultured bacterium. RNAcentral describes it as "partial 16S ribosomal RNA". It matches the Rfam family "Bacterial small subunit ribosomal RNA", at positions 339 to 795 of the family's 1533-position model. The record is from RNAcentral.
CUACGGGUUGCACCAGUGAGGAAUAUUGCGCAAUGGGGGGAACCCUGAUGCAGCAACGCCGCGUGGAGGAUGACGCAUUUCGGUGUGUAAACUCCUUUUAUAUGUCAAGAAAAUGACGGUAGCAUAUGAAUAAGCACCGGCUAACUCCGUGCCAGCAGCCGCGGUAAUACGGAGGGUGCAAGCGUUACUCGGAAUCACUGGGCGUAAAGGACGCGUAGGCGGGCUUGUAAGUCAGGUGUGAAAUCCUACAGCUUAACUGUAGAACUGCACUUGAAACUACGAGCCUAGAGUAUGGGAGGGGGAGAUGGAAUUAGUGGUGUAGGGGUAAAAUCCGUAGAUAUCACUAGGAAUACCUAAAGCGAAGGCGAUCUCCUGGAACAUAACUGACGCUAAGGCGUGAAAGCGUGGGGAGCAAACAGGAUUAGAUACCCCAGUAGUC